Molecule: transfer RNA, 116 nt
Filed under: Claviceps africana
Lineage: Eukaryota; Fungi; Ascomycota; Sordariomycetes; Hypocreales; Clavicipitaceae
Description: tRNA-Ala
Rfam family: tRNA
About the family: Transfer RNA (tRNA) molecules are approximately 80 nucleotides in length. Their secondary structure includes four short double-helical elements and three loops (D, anti-codon, and T loops). Further hydrogen bonds mediate the characteristic L-shaped molecular structure. tRNAs have two regions of fundamental functional importance: the anti-codon, which is responsible for specific mRNA codon recognition, and the 3' end, to which the tRNAs corresponding amino acid is attached (by aminoacyl-tRNA synthetases). tRNAs cope with the degeneracy of the genetic code in two manners: having more than one tRNA (with a specific anti-codon) for a particular amino acid; and 'wobble' base-pairing, i.e. permitting non-standard base-pairing at the 3rd anti-codon position.
Source: RNAcentral
GGGCUUGUGGUCUAGGGGUAUGAUCUUCGUUUCGCACCUGUGAAAGUUCGGAUUCGUCUGAGCGAUCAGUAAUAGUUGCCUAUGAAUGGUCCCGGGUUCAAUUCCCGGCGAGUCCA